AAUAAGAACCAAGAUAUGUCAUGUACAGGUACAAGCACCCAAUGAUAAAUGUAAACGUACUGUAUACCUAAAAUGUACCAAUAAAAGAAUUUAAGGGGGGAAAAAAAAAAAAGCACACAGAGCUGGCCCACGGACCAGAGGGCAAGGAGGACACACAAAGGAGCCUCAGCUCCAGUCCUGGAGGUCUUUCCGAGAGCCCAGGGAACAACUAGGAACCAAAUUUGUCCCCAACACAAAAGCUUCACACUGCUGCCCCCAUACCCUCCAAAGUGCCCCUGUCCCCGUCUUUCUCUCAUGUCUGAUUAUAUGGGGGCUGGCUUUGAUUAAUUGAUUUGCCCUUAAUAUCUCUCUUUAGCACUUUAUAGCUUCCAACUUUCCCCAAAUUGGGACAAAUGAUCUUUGAAGGAAUAGAAUAUGUCUGGAUUUCUAUUGAGAGUUGGUUCCAUCAGUAUUUUAUUUUAUUUAUUUUAGGGGGGGGUACCGGGGAUCGAACUUGGGACCUUGUGCUUGCAUGGCAGGCGCUGGAACCACUGAGCCAAAUCCCCGGCACUCCAUCAGUAUUUUAAACAAUCCAAGGCCCACUGAGCAGCUCUUUUGCAGCAGUAUUGUACAGGUUUUUAGUUUUAUUUAUUUAAAGGGAAUUCCCUUUAUUCUUAAAAUGGGUUAUCUAACAUUCUUAAUAUGGGUUAUCUUUCUGGUUGCUUGGUUGGUUGGUUUGCCUCUUGACUGAAAAAAGGUGUCUUUAACGUGAGAAUGUGCUACUUUAUACCGCAGUAACAUACAAUUUAAAAACUCUCAGUGUUUAAGGCAAGAAGUUGUCUGGGUGCCAAGAGGCUCUGCUCUGCCUUUCCCCUGGACCCAGGCUGAUGAAGGAGGCUCUCUGGAACCGUGUUGGCCAUUGGCAAAGGAGAGAAGACUCUUUAGAGAGCCCACACCAGCAAUUAGAAGUUCACUGCAGAAGUAAUGUGUGUCACUUCCGCCCAGCCAGAAUGAGUCACAUGACCGCAGGGGCAGGAAGUGGGUUCUCACCUCAGGUCUCAGCGUGCUGAAGCCGGAACAGGACUGGUGAGGAUGACAAAUGUCCGAGUAGAGACCAAUGGCAAAAUAUGGAUUCUCCAGGACACUUAGAAAGCAACUUAGCAAAGGGAAAAAGAAGUAGAGGUCCAGGAAUCAAGAACGAGCCCACAGGAAAGACUAGAACUACAUAGUGAGAUCCUGUCUCAAAAAAAAAAAAAAAGAAAGAAAGAAAGAAGCAGCUUGGAACACUAACUCUGGCUCUCAGGGAAGGGAACCUAUGUGGAAUGAUACAAGCCCCUAGAAGGUUGGACACUAAGAAGACCUCCAAAUAUUAUGCUAAGAAGACUUUCAAAUAUUUGGGGUACCAACACCAAAUGCAAGGACACAUCAGAGGACAUCAAACUGAACUAAUGAGAUCUCCACGGUAGGGCCAGAGUUUCUCUACCCCAACUGAUCUUCAACUAACAGUCCAAAAACAAUAGAAACACAAGAAAACAAGGCAGGAAGAUGUCCCCCCAAAUCCCUUACUUCCCAAAAGCUGAUUUUAUGGACACUGAAGUAGGAGAAAUCAAGGCAAAGAACUGAAAGACCAAAUGGUUAAAAUAUUUGAAGAAGGGCCAGGGAUUUAGCUCAGUGGUGCUGCACCUGCCUUGAAAGUGCAAGGUCCUGAGUUUGAUCCCCAGUACUAGAAGAAAAAAAAAAUUUUGAAGAGAUAAAAGAAGAAGCAUAUAAGCAAAUGCAUAAGAUGUUCCAUAAGUUCAAAGAGGAUUUAAACAGGUCAAGGAUUUUACCAAUAAAGUGUUAAAUGAGGUUAAAGAAGAAACAAACAAUAGGGCUGGGGAUUCAGCUCAGGGGUGCUGCAGCCAACUCGAAAGUACAAGGUCCUGAGUUCAAUCCCUGGUACUGGAAAAAAAAAAGAAGAAGAAAAAGAAGAAGAAACAAACAACAAACCAACUGAAUUAAGCAAGACAAUGUAAAAUAUGAAUGGCUACUUGGGAAGAGUUAGAAAGUAUGCAAAGAAAGUAAGCAGAGGUCGAUGAUAUGAAAAAUUCAGUGGAAAGCAUGAGUAGCAGACUUGACCAAUGUGAGGACAGUGUCAGAAACAGGAGAUAAAGUGGAUGUAGUAGAUCAUAAAUCCAGUGGUACCCUAAAAAUCACAAGACACCAGGCAGGUUGGAUCCAAAGGAAAAAAACCAACCUCAGAACUGUAGAAAUAAAGAAAAAAUUAGAAGAUGACUGAAAGGAUAUAAAAAAUUAAUUCAGUAAAAUCAUAGCUGAAAAAUUUUCAAAUGUAGGGAAAGGAGUCACUAUUCAAGUAGGAGAGGCAUAUAAAACCCCAAAUAGACAUAACCAGAAAACAGCCUCUUUGCAACACAUAAUCAAAAUUCCAGAAAUUCAACAAAAGGAGUGAAUGUAAAAGCUGUUAGAGAAAAACAGCAAGUAUCUUAUAAGGGGAAGCCCAUCAGAGUAACUGAAUUUCUCAGCCCAAACCUUAAAGGCCAAGAAAGCCUGGAGCAAAGUUUUCAAGCCCUAAAAGAUAACAGUUGUUGCUAGGUGUGGUUGUGCACAUCUGUAAUCCUAGCACUCGGUAGGCUGAGGCAGAAGGAUCACUGUGAGUUCAAGGCCUGCCUAGACUACAUAGUAAAACCCUGUCUAAAAAAAAAAAGAGUUAAAAUGUGUUAUGUACAUAUGUAGGAACUCAGCACAAAAGAUUAUGUACUACAAACAUGUACUAAUAAAAAAAAUUGACAGAACUAAAGAUUUUCCAUGACAAACCCUAAAUAAUUACAUGACCACUAAACCAGCAUUGCAGAAAAUGCUUAAAGGGAUCCUAGACAGAAACAGGGACGCCACCAGCACCAAAGCACCCAAAGGAAAAUACACAUUUGACAGGGAGAGGAGUUAGACAAAAGGAAAAAUAAAGGAAUCAGCACUGGAAAAAUAAUGCAAUGGUAGGAUUCAAUAACCACUUACAAUAAUACUGCUCCAUGUCAGUGGCCUCAACUUCCUAAUCAAAAGACACAAAAUGGCAGAUUGGCUAAAAGUGCAAUAAAAAAUUGCCUACAGGGACCAGGGAUUUAGCUCAGAGGCUCUGGUGCCUGCCUCACAAGGGUAAGGUCCCAAGUUCGAACCCCAGUGCCCAAAACAAAACAAAACAACAACAACAAAAUUGCCCACAGUAGGCCAUCCAAAAGGAAAGGCAUAGUCUGAAAUUGAAAGAUGGAAAAUGAUUCUCCCAUCCAACUGCAGGAUUAGAUAUUUUAUUUUCAGACACAGCAGUCUUUAAGCCAAAACUAAUCAGAGUAGACAAAGAUGGCUAUUUCAUACUGGUCAAAGGAACAAUUCAAUAGAACUGUAAAUAAUUAUGGACCAAAUGUCAGUGAACUCAGUUUCUUUUAUUUUUUGAGACAAGAUCUUGCUGUGUAAGUCAGGCUGGCCUUGAACUCACUAUGGAGCCCAGGCUGGCCUCAAAUUUACGUGUGAUCCUCCUGCCUCAGCCUCCUGAGUAUAUGGGCCACCAUACCCAGCCUAGCCACCACACCCAGCCCAGUGCAUCCAAUUUUUAAAAACAAAAAUUACUGGAUUUAAAAGGACACCAAAGCAAUCAUAGGGGGGAGUUCAAUACCCCACUCUCAAAAUUAGGUUACCCAGGGGCUGGGGAUUUAGCUCAGUGGUUCUGCCGUCUGCCUCACAAGUGGAAGGACCCAAGUUCAAUACCCAGUACCAAAAAAAAAAAAAUUGUGUUACCCAGACAAAAAAAUCCACAAAGAAACAUCAGAGUUAAACCACACCAUUGAACAAAUGGACUUGAGAAAUAUCUGUAGAGUGUUUUAUCUAACAACAGCAGAAUACACAUAUUUCUCAAUAGCACAUGGAACUUUUUCCAAAAUAGACCAUAUCUAAAGCAUGCUUAAGUAAAGACUAAAGAAUUGAAAUAAUCCACUGCAUACUAUUGGAUCAUAGUGGAAUGAAGUUGGAAAUCAACAGUAAAAGAAGCCACAGAAAUUAUGCAAACAGCGUUUAGGCAAUAUGUUAUCGAAUAAUCAAUGGAUCACAGAAGAAAUCAGGGAGAACUAAAAUAGUUCCAAGAAUCAAAUGACAGUGGAAGCAUAACGUACCAAAACCUUUGGGACAUAAUGAAAGCAUUUCAAGAGGGGAGAUUAGAGCCAUAAAUGCACCCAUAAAAAGAACAGAGUGACCCCCCAAAUCAAUAACCUAAUGGUGUAUCUCAAUAACACCAGAAGACAAGAACAAUCCAAAUCUGAAACAAAUAGGAAAGAAAUAAUAAAGAUCAGAGCAAAGUUAAUGAAAUUGAAAUUAAAAAAACAAUACGGAUAAAUUUUUUUUUUUGGUACCAGGGAUUGAACUUGGGACUUUACGCUUGUGAGGCAGGUGGCAGAACCACUGAGCUAAAUCCCCAGCCCUAAAAGAACAAUACAAAGGAUCAGUGAACCACAGGACUGGUUCUUUGAAAGGAUGGGAAAGCGGACUUGGGGAGAGGGGAGCUGGGAGGAAGGGCAGGGGAAAUAAAAGGAUCAAGAUGUGAUGUGAAUGUACUGGUGUCCCCACAAUGAAUGUGUUCACUAGGUAUCACGGUGAUACAUUAAUAAAAAAUUGGAAAGAGGAUCCACACCCAUGGCUACCAAGUAGAGUGCCUCUGCCUAAAGCCCUUGGCCCUAAAUCAGUCUGUUCUGCCACCACCCUAACCCUGCGGCUUGGGACUGUCCCAGCUCAGCCCGAAGUGUGGUUCUUCAUGUCCCACACUCAGAUGAACCAAUAAGCCAGUGCCCAUUACUCCAUCAUCGCUAACUCUAACCACAGUACUUCAGUAUGUGAUUUCUUGCAGUGGAGACUGGCUCUCGUCACCAACUCCGUGUCCUUUCUCUCUCAUGCACAUGACGCACAUGUCCUAGUGUCCCUUGUGCCCAUGAUGAGUUGUAGCUGAGUUGUGAUGACACCAUUUCCGUCCUGGCCUACAAACCCCCAUGUAUGCUCCUCUCUCCUGUUCCCCAGACCGGAUGCCAAUGCCCGGGGGAGCUUGGAAGCCAGCACUGAAGGUGACAGGACCCUUGCUACCGCCACCAACAUGGGUCCCUAAUGGGCCCCACUCAGGAGCAUCUGCAGUGGGCUCCCAUAAGGGAGAAACAAACUUUUGUUACAGCAGCUACUGCCACCCCGAUCCAUCCUCACUUUGCAAAGGGGAUUAAAGAUCUUGCCCGAGAGUUACAAGCUGUCUGUUCAAUAACCCCUCGCUAGAUAGUAAACAUCCUUAGGAAGCUGCUCAAUGAUUUCUGCUGUGGUUCUAAAUGGCCCAGCCCCCUAGCAGGUGGGGGUGCAUCUGUGGUCUGCCAUAGGCCACAGUGCCACACUGGGCCCAAUGCCUGAUGUCUUGCUUUCUGCUCCGAUUCCCCCUCUUCUUGUCAAUCCAAGUGCAGACAAACAGUCCCACGCUCCGAGGCCAGAGUGUGGUGACUGUUUUUAGCAUUCUGUUGCUGAUGGCAAUCUCUGACUGUGGCUCUGUUUCCGGGCCUGUGGGUCCAGGAUUUCCAGGCUGAGCACCCGUGUGCUUAUGGGGUGAGGCACUUGGAGCAUUGAUGCACCCCCUGCGGAUAAGCCUUGGCAUGCACACGUCAGCACCUGCUGGAUCACGAGGCAGGUGGAGGCACCACUGAGCCAAAUCCCGGGCCCCAGGGCAUCUUUAAAAAGGGCUGAGUAGCGGUGGCACUGCGCGUGCUUUGUAAGCGCAAGGUCCUGAGUUCGAUCCCUGGUACCAAAAAAAAAAGGGCUGAGUGGGCAGGGAGGUUAAAUAUGUAAAAGCAAUUCCAGCCAGGUGUAGUGGUGCCUGGCUGUAAUCUCAGCAGUUGGGAGGCUGAGGCAGGAGGAUUGCCAUGAGUUCAAGGCCAGCCUGGGCUACAUAGGUUAGCCUGAACUUACAUAGCUGUCUCAAAAGAAAAAAAAAAAGGGCUGGGGAUUUAGCUGAGUGGUUUCGCCACCUGCUCCGCAAGCGCAAGGACUGGAGUUCAAUCCCCGGUACCAAAAAAAUAAAAUAAAAUAAUAAAUUCCAGAAGAUGAGCUCCAAGCACUGGAGUGGGUUAUAGAAGCAAGCUUGGAAACAUUCUGUAUUUUAAAAUUUACUUAAAAUCAUAAUAGUACAACAUGUUUGUUGCAAUUCAUUCAAACAAUUUAGAACGCUCAGGAAAAAUAUUAAAGUUCUGUCAUCAUCCAAAGUCUAUGCUCAGAUUUACCGUGGUCAGUAGCUUAUGUGCAUCUUAAGAGUCAUUAAAAAUAACCCGAGGUCUGCAGCUCCAUGCAGAGCCCAUCAGUGGAUGUGGCAGCAGCUAAUUAUAACCAAUGUUACUCAGGCCUUUCUGGGGGCCAGGUACUGACCUCAGCACUUUCUUCGUUUUCUCAUUGAGUCCUCUCACAAUGCCUUGGCUCAGUAGCAAGGACAAUUCCCUGGCAAGGAAAAUGAGGGGGAGAAGGCUUGAAGCGAGUGUCCCAGCCCACAUACACAGUGCAUGGCAGACCCCGACUGGAACUCCAGGACUUCGGCUGCAGGGUUCACACAGCGAUGACUCAGCUGUGCCACCUUUUAAUCAGCGAGUGACAAGGGUUGUACAAUGGGGAAUUGGAAACCGUGGCAUCCAAGUAUUGACCCCUCCACUUUCCUUCCUUCUCCAAACCUCUGUGAUUUCACCUGUGAAGUACGGCCAGCGGGACAGAUGUUGCUGGGGAUUGGUAUUAAUGAAUUGAUGAUUCUAAAGGGCUGUGUAAAUAACCCCAUUUAUCUAAAGAAUCAGCUUGCUUUCAUUUGUACUCCAUGCUGGUGGAGAAUAAAUUGUUCCUAAGAUUACUUUC
Molecule: long non-coding RNA, 6876 nt
Organism: Heterocephalus glaber (naked mole-rat)
Lineage: Eukaryota; Metazoa; Chordata; Mammalia; Rodentia; Bathyergidae
Source: RefSeq, a predicted model, not a curated record